This 1885-nucleotide long non-coding RNA is filed under the name Solanum tuberosum (potato). Its description in RNAcentral is "long non-coding RNA (STUB_LNC000713)". The record is from RNAcentral. Lineage: Eukaryota; Viridiplantae; Streptophyta; Magnoliopsida; Solanales; Solanaceae.
ACAGAUUCCAGCUAUCAGAUUAAGAACAAAGCAAAUCAGAUAUCAGGACAAUCCAACAGCAGACAUACAAACAAAUAGGGGAGGGGAGCAGUAAGGAUAUCAACAUCAAAAUAUGCCUUCAGAAGGGAGGAAGACAAGGAAGAAGACGUACCGCUCCGUAGCGAGUACUCUAGCUGCGAAACACGGAGAAAUAGAGGAGCACACUCAGAGAAAGAGGCGGCACUUGGAAAGUUGAACUGAAAAUGGGAGGGGCGAAAGAGGCGGAUGUUGUCAGGAGUUCUUUCCUAAUUAUAAACAAGGUUUGGUCUAGUUUAGGCUUGAAUUUUGUAAUAUUUGGGCGUUUUGGCCAAACUGAUUUGGCUUUUGCUAGUUAUUAAUAAAAUGGCCACCAAAAAUUUGACCUUAAAAACAAAAUUAUUCAAAAUUCAAAAUAAUUAUCAAUUUUUUUUUAUAUAUUUAUCUUUCAUUUAAUGAUGAUCUUAACUAUUCUUUAAUUUUUAGAAAAAUAGUCUAAAAAUAAUCAAAAAAAUAUCGGUAGAAAAUAGUCUUUUAUUUAUUUCCAAAAAUAUAUUAUAACUCAAUAAUUUACUUAAUAUAAACGGAAGGGUAUAUAUAUAUGAUAUUUCUCCACUUUAUUUUCAUGUUGUCAAGCUGAACGAAGAGAUGACCAUUAAUGUAGCAAAUAAUUGAGCACAUGGCCUCUUAAACAAGUUUGCACUGACAAAAUGAAAUUUAACUAAAUAUUUUUGAAGUUUAAAAACUGAGAUUAACUAAUAUUCAUUGACGUGAACACUAAAAUUAUACGAUUGAUUUUUCUUUAAUUAAAUAAUAAAUAUUACUUAUUAUAUCUAAAUAAAAAUGACAAAAAGAAUACUAAAAGUAAAUUGGACUCUAAGUUAAUUAUGCAAAAGAUUAUUUAGGAUUCUUCCUGUAGCUUAUCAAAAAAGAUCUUUUUCAUCGCGCAUGUUCAUUCUCAUUAAUUUUAGGCUCGUCAAAUAGCAUUGAAGCAAUUCACAUACAUCAUUAAAACAAUUUGAGACAAACAUCAACACCUAUAUAUAUAUAUAUAGGGUUGCGAAAUUUCAUGUUGUAAAAAGAACAUGUCUUUUCAAUAUGCUUUUGGCAUUUUUGUAUUCAAAGUAUUCUUGUAUUCUAUGUAUUUUCAUUUCAUGUAUAGCUACUAUGAGCUUUGUAGAUCUUAAACUUGCAUGCAAAUAUGCUUAUUCCAUUUCUGGAAUUGCUUUAUCAAAAUGAUGUAAUGCUAUGCGAUGUUUCCAUGCUCUUUUUCUUACUAAAUGUAAGUGAUAUUGAAUGUCUUUCAACAUGUUUUAUAUGCUAUAAGCAUGCAUAUGAACAAAUAUUGUUUUCAACAUAUUACUGUUUUGAUUUAAUCAAUCUUUUUAAUGUCCCUAUAGGUACUAAGUAUACUUCUUAUGUCUAAGGAUAUUGUAAAAUAUGAAUAUGCUUUGUUUUUGACAAUAAUAUUAUGAAAUACUAAGUUUUGCGUGUAUACCUUUCUCCUUUACGUUCGAUGAACAGUCUUUAUCACUACCUCAGUAGUUCUCCUUCAGGCUAUGAACAUUUUUUGUCUCUUGGCUACUUCCCUACUGUUCCUCCUUAGGGCUGAAGAUCGCAACCUUCACUUAAUACUAUUCAUGGAAUUCAGAGAAGAAGAAUUUAUAAACCAAACUUUUUAUUUCAUAAUAUUACUCACACAAACAAACCAUACAUACUUUACAUAUACUUAAACAUAUUUAGUAAUACUUUUCCCUGGCGGGAGAAGUUUCUACUCACUCCUUAAGAUACCUAGCAUUUUUUUUCUCUAGUUGGUGUUUUAAAGAAAAAUGUAGUCUACCUCUUAGAGUGUUUUUUCUCUCCUUUUAUA